GGGUGAUUAGCUCAGUUGGUAGAGCUUCUCCUUUACACGGAGAAGGUCGGCGGUUCAAUUCCGUCAUCACCCA
Molecule: transfer RNA, 73 nt
Organism: Buchnera aphidicola (Schlechtendalia chinensis)
Lineage: Bacteria; Pseudomonadati; Pseudomonadota; Gammaproteobacteria; Enterobacterales; Erwiniaceae
Rfam family: tRNA
About the family: Transfer RNA (tRNA) molecules are approximately 80 nucleotides in length. Their secondary structure includes four short double-helical elements and three loops (D, anti-codon, and T loops).
Source: Rfam